ACAGAUCGUUCAGAGUUUGAUCCUGGCUCAGGACGAACGCUGGCGGCGUGCCUAACACAUGCAAGUCGAACGAAGCAUUUAAGUGGAUCCCUUCGGGGUGAAGGUUAUAUGACUUAGUGGCGGACGGGUGAGUAACGCGUGAGUAACCUGCCUUUCAGAGGGGGAUAACAGUUGGAAACGACUGCUAAUACCGCAUAACGUACAUUUAAGGCAUCUUAGAUGUACCAAAGCUGAGGCGCUGAAAGAUGGACUCGCGUCUGAUUAGAUAGUUGGUGAGGUAACGGCUCACCAAGUCGACGAUCAGUAGCCGGACUGAGAGGUUGAACGGCCACAUUGGGACUGAGACACGGCCCAG
This 355-nucleotide ribosomal RNA is filed under the name uncultured bacterium. RNAcentral describes it as "bacterial SSU rRNA". It matches the Rfam family "Bacterial small subunit ribosomal RNA", at positions 1 to 334 of the family's 1533-position model. The record is from RNAcentral.